ACAUGUUGUUAAGAAGAAGAACGACAGAGAUUAUUGAGGCAAGUUAAAGAAAUCGACGCAUUGAAAACUAGGAUGGAAACACUUGAAUCUGAUCAUUAAAUUUUGUCUAUCCAUUUGGUGCAACGCUACAUGUUGUAAAACCAGCGAUUCCUGUGUUAUCGACUGGGACAGUUUCAUUGCCAGUAAAUCGUCCGGUUUGUGCAUUUCAUUCUUCAAAGCAGCAGGAAAAGAUACGUAGAUAUAGCAAAGAAAUGUUCAAGAUGUAAUCAUCGUACCAAAGGCAGGCAACAAGUAAUGAUAAAUGUUAUUCUUCUUCUUUCAUUGAUAAUAUCAUUCCUCCAACAGCAGCAGGAAAAGAUACG
Long non-coding RNA from Xenia sp. Carnegie-2017, 362 nucleotides. RefSeq lists it as uncharacterized. NCBI's taxonomy places the organism in Eukaryota, Metazoa, Cnidaria, Anthozoa, Malacalcyonacea, Xeniidae. The transcript is spliced from 3 exons. The record is from RefSeq and is a predicted model, not a curated record.